GGAGGAUGAAAUGCAGAUACCUGACCUCCUGUGUACCUACCUUUCCCAAUACUAUGUGUUCACCACAGUACACAGUGUCUGGUCACCAGCUUUUGUGUUUGGGCCUGGCCUCCAUAUCCAGAGUGGACCUCAAUGCUAACCAUUCUGUCAGUCUUCAUCUCCCUCACCCACAGACCUUCUGCCAUUCCUACUAGCUACAAAGGACACUGGGAAACAGGAGCACACACAAGCCUGAUAGUUCUACCUUGUUGCUUUGGGUUUUUUUCCCUUCUUGUUUACAGGUACUGGUAAGCUACAGAGUAAGUCACAAAUUGUUCUCAGAGCUUUAUUUUUUUUAAUUAUAGUUUUUUAAUAAUGAUUUUUAUUUUUUUCCAUUAUAGUUGGUUUACAUAUUUCUUCAAUUUCUGUUGUACAGCAAAGUGACCCAAUCACACAGUUCCUGUGUUGUACAGAAGGGCCCAAUUGCCCAUCCAUUCCAAAUACAACAAUUUGCAUCUGAAAAUUCCAAACUCCUGGUCCUUAUCCAGUCCAUCCCACUCCGUAAGUCUGCUCUCCCUUGACCUUGAUCUGUUUCUGUUUUGGAGAUAGAAAAACUGAUCCCAGAGCUUUAAAUGAAAUGUACGCAGCUCUUCUGCAACGAGCUGUCCUUGUUGCUUGACGGUUCCUCUGCCCUUUCUUUUUAGUUCCCCCUCACAUGCUGCUGAGUCCUAACUCUAAAGUGUCUCAACUUCAUGCAUAUUCUCUGAGCCUGGCAUUUAUCCUCUGAUUCUAGAGGUAUAUUGAGCCUGCUCCACUGUUGUGAGUGAAGGAAGCUUCUCUUGAGUGUUUCUCAGGAUCUUCACCCAUUUUUCUGCUCUUGUUUUGUAAUCUCAGGGAAAGAGGCAUCCUUCUGCUUUGUCACUGUUCUCCUCAAUCUCAUGUUCUCCUGCUACCCCUGGGAUCUUGCUUUUCUGGUCAUUUCUCAUAUAUAUUUUUUGCUUUUUAGGGCCAUAGAGGUAGCAAAUGGAAGUUCCCAGGCUAGAGGUCUAACUGGAGAUACAGCUGCCAGCCUAUGCUACAGCCAUAGCAAUGAGCCGCGUCUACAGCCUAUGCCACAGCUCACAGCAAUGCAGAUCCCUGAUCCACUAAGCAAGGCCAGGAUCAAACCCCCAUCCUCAUGGAUACUAGUUGAAUUUGUUUCCUCUGUGCUACAAUGGGGACUUCCUAUUUAAAAUAUAUAUUAGGGCCACAGAUGUGGCAUAUGGAAGUUCCCAGGCUAGGGGUAAAAUUAGAGCUACAGCUGCUGGUCAACCCCACAGCCCACAGCAAUACCAGAUCCAAGCCCCGUCUGUGACCUACACUGCAGCUUGUGGCAGUGCCGAUCCUUAACCCACUGAGCAGGGCCAGGAAUUGAACCCACAUCCUCAUGGAUACUAGUCAGGUUCAUCACUGCUGAACCACAAUGGGACUGCCUAUAUUUUACUUCAAUUCGUUUUCCAGAGACAUGAUUGCACAUCUCCCUCCAUUUGACAAAUGCUCAAGUUGCCAUUAACUAAAAACAAACACACAAACUGAAAAAACAAGUAGUCAAAAUAAUAAGCAACUCCCGCCCCAGAACUCCUUGACCCUGAUACUACUUCUCCAUCUUUCUUUUCUUUUCUUUCUUUUCUUUUCUUUUCUUUUUUCUUCUCUUCUCUUCUCUUCUCUUUUUCUUUCUUUCUCUCUUUCUUUCUUUCUUUCUUUCUUUCUUUCUUUCUUUCUUUCUUUCUUUCUUUCUUUCUUUCUUUCUUUCUUUCUUUCUUUCUUUCUUUCNNNNNNNNNNNNNNNNNNNNNNNNNNNNNNNNNNNNNNNNNNNNNNNNNNNNNNNNNNNNNNNNNNNNNNNNNNAGGCUAGGGGUCAAAUUGGAGCUAUAACUGCUGGCCUACAGCACAGCCACAGCAAUUCAGGAUCCAAGCCGCAUCUGUGACCUACACCACAGCUCACAGCAAUGCUGGAUCCUUAACCCACCACUGAGCGAGGCCAGGGAUCCAACCUGCAUCCUUGUGGGUGCUAGUUGGGUUUGUAACCCACUGAGCCACAACAGGAACUCCUCUCCACCUUUCUUUGCUGACAAACAUCUUAGUCUGCCCCUGCCACCUCUUUGGAACCCACACACUUCUAGGAAUAUGAACUCAGUAUUAUGCUCAAAGUGUUCUCUUCUUGUCAUCAAGAGCUCAGGGUCUGUAACUCAAAAGAACUCAUCUCAGUUCUUAACCUCUCUACUCUCUCUGCAAUAUGGGGCAUCUUGGCUAGCCACACUGGGAUGGACUGAGUGUGUCCUUCCAAAAUUCAAAUGUUGAAGCCCUAAUCCCCAGUGUGAUGGUAUUUAGACUUAGAUUUUUGGGAGUAAUUAGGUCAUGAGGCUGGAGCCUUCUUGAAUGAGAUUAGUGCCCUUAUAAGAGACUUUCAUAGAGAUCAUCUAUGAAAAGACUUUCAUCUUUUCAUAGAUGAUCUUUCCUUCCACUGUAUAGGAAUACAGCGAGAAGGCAGCCACUUACAAACUAGGGAGAGAGCCCUCACCAAGAACCCAACCAUACCAACACCCUGAUCUUAGACUUCCAGCCUUUAGAACUGUGAGAAAGAAUUGUUUGUUGUUUACUCCAGCUAGUCUAUAGUCUAUAGUAUUCUGUUGUAGCAGCCCAAACAGCCUAAGGCACAUACCUUAAAAUUUCAGUUGAACUUUGUGAUGCUGAGUGCUUCUCUGUUCCUCUGAUUCUUUAUUACUACUAUAAAGACUUGCCCUUUGGUUCUCUUCCUUAUUUCUAAAUGAAGAUUCUCCUUCUUCUUAGUUCUUUCAUUGCACUCCUUGGCUGUAGUCUUUCUGUAAGUGAUUUUAUAUAGUCACAAGAAUUAAAAUAGCACCUUUUAAAGAAUACCGCCAAACCAUGUAUCACUGCAGUGACCUGUCUUGGAUGUGCAUUUUCAAUUGUUUGAUGCAUAUUUUCACCUAAAAGAUGACACAUUGAUUCAAACUUAAACUCAGCAUGAUCGAAACCGAACUCACUUUUUUCUUCUUGUUACUACUUUAGUUCAUUCUUUCAUCACUAGUUAUGAAGAAUACAAUACAUUCCUAACUGAUGCUCUAAUGUUUGGAUAUUCUGUUCAUAAUUUAUAUAUGCGUGGAUAAAUUUAGUAAUGAGAGAUUAUUUUUCAAACUUUGGUCUUGUUUAAAAACAUUCAGUAGCAACUAUUGCCUACUGAAUUAUACCUAGUCAGAAGCUUGCCUUUAAGAUGCUUUACAAUAUGUAUAUGCCAUUUUCAGACUUAUUCUUCUAAAACACUCUACAAAUUCCCUGUGCCACAUAUAAAACUGACAACUCAUGGUUCCAUGGAUGUGCUUUGUCCAUUCUUGUUUCCAUUUCAAUAGACUGACAUGAAAAAAUGGUUAAUAAAUAAUAGAUUACUUUUAAAAUGGAUACUGGUGGAUUCAUCCUGGGUUGAAUCCAUUAACCGACAGAUGAUGUCUUUCUCUAAACUGUCUCUGAAUGUAGCUAAGAAAAAAAUUGAGUGGAGAGGUAUAUAUCUGUUAUAACUUGUUUGUCUUUGAUCAUUGCCAGAUUUUUAUAGUGUAUGUCUUCUCUCCCAAAGAAUGCUGACUGUAAGUUCCUUGUGGACAUGACAUGACUUAUUCUUUUUUAUAUCUUCUAAAAUAUGAAGAACACAUAAUAAAUAUUUCACAUGUAUUUGUUGAAAGGACAUAUGGGUGGUUAAAAAAUGGAUACUGUGCAUUUUGUCCUUUGAGAUAACUUAUCUAUUAUUUAUCAUACAAGCCUGGUUUACCAUUCCAAACGAAAGCUUUAUGGUAAACAUCUGAAGUCCUAAACAAAUGGAAAUUAAGCUGCUCACAAAUUUAUCUGGUGAUUACAAGUCACUUUGUGAUGCUUUUCCCAUUUUAUCUUCCAGCUUAAUUUUGCUGGAAAGCAUACCUCAUGAAUGGCUCUAGCAAGUUGUGAUGCCAGCUGGGGGAAUUUUGCCGUUUAUAGCACGAGCCAUUUCACAGAUUUUUCAGGGAUUUUUGAGACUGGUGAUACUGCAAAGAUAAUGCACAUUCUCUGUGUCAAAAGAUGUGAAUUAAUGAGGUAAAGGAAACAUUUAUCUGUUGCAAAUGACCAGGGAAGUUUUGCCAAAUUUCCUCAAGUUGUCUCUUUUCUCUUGGCAUUCACUUGGAAGGAGUAUAUCCUGGUAAUGGGAAUCACAUGUGAUUAAAGAAACCUUCAUGAACUGAUGCAGACCUUCACACGGCUACAGUCAGGGGUUUGGAGGAUACUGGAAGUUGACUUAAAUCUUUGAGACAAAUCUAGAAUAUAUAGGAAAAUGUGAUCAAUGAAAAAUGUGCAACCUCUGUAUGUCCAACGCAAAGUCAUAUGGUAUGUGUGUGUGUGUGUGUGUGGUUAUCCCUAUGUGAAGUGGUAAUUAAUAUGCUGAAAAUAAAAACCGUUCUAGAGAAAAGUCCUAAAAGCUGACAAAGGCUGUUACCUUUAAAGUAAAAUUCCUGGAUAAUUGAGGAUGUAGACCAUCACUUUGGGAGCUUCUCUUUAUCCUCUGAGUAAGAAAGAAGAGCGUUUCAGGGAUUUGUGCUCUCUAGAUGCUGUGUAUCCACUUAACUAAAAAAUAGACUCUACUUGGGGUCUACAUAAAGAUUUUCUUAUACUUACUCUGCCUUCAACUCUACACAUUUAUGGCAAAGUAGAAAUACUUUUUGCUCUUAUUUCCUAGGCUAAACAGUCCCUUAUCUGGUUCAACAGAUUGACCUCUGGCCUAAAGGGCAAGUGAGACUCUUCAGAUAGUUUUGUCUUGUGGUCUGUUGGAUGCCAUUACUCCCAGGUAGCUAGAGCACAUUCUUUCAUUCUCUUUGGGCCUUGAUUUUGCUCUUUAAAAUUAACUAAUUAAUUAAUUUUCUUUUUAUAGCUGCACCUGCAGCAUAUGGAAGUUCCUGAAUCAGGGAUUGAAUCAGAGCUACAGCUGUGGCCUGCACCACAGCAGCCCUGGAUCUUAGCUGCAUCUGUUGCAGCAACGCUGAAUCCUUAACUCAUUGAGUGAGGCCAGGAGUUGAACCCGCAUCCUUACAGAGACUAUGCCAGGUCCUUAACCUGCUGAGCCACGAGGGAAACUCCUUGAUUUUGCUUUUAUCUGCCUUUUUUGUUCUGUGUCAGAUCUUCCCUCAUCCCACUCUUUACUAUUCCUAUUCUUUCUUCUGCUUCCUUUGUUUUCAUCUGUACAAAUUUGAGAUGCCUAGAAGUUAAUGUGGCUUGUUAAAUAUUCUCUGCACAGAGCCUGGAGAAAAGUGCUGUAUAUAUCAGGUAUAUAAUGAUAAGGAAUCAAAUUCUGCUCUGUACUUUUGCCUCUUUCUGGUAGUAAGUUAUGUAAUAAUGUUAUAAAUGAUCAAUUGGCAGCCUGGUGGGGUGAAUGUACUUCUCUGAGUGCCUCGUGAACACCCUGGGAAUGGCUUAGGUAUGAGGAAGAAUAUAAACUAAUAAUACAUGCCAGCUCUGAUUCCUUUGAGAAUUCAUGUCCUGAGAAAUUUCAAUGGAACAAUCUAAUUUUUUCAUCCACAAUAGUGUUUGAUUUGCAUUCAAGGAGGGAUAUUUUCCUGUCUGGCUACUUAGGGAUGGAGUUCAGAGUCAGAAAACAUUUUAUACCCUUAGAUUUUCUUCAUUUCCUAUUAACAGUGAAUACUCACUAAGUUCAUGGCACUGCUUGGAAGGAGAGCUGAGUUAAGAUCAAAACCAGGCUGGCUGGUGCCUUUGAGAGCCACUACAGCCACAAACACUGCAAGUGUCCCUUGCCGGGAACCCAGCUAAGGAAGGACUCCUCUGAGAUAGCUACUAUCCUGAUCUGCCAAACUGCAUGUACAAAAAAGAAAAGCUUAUUACCUGUCAUUGGAGAAUGACAACUAAAUAAGAUAGCAUUGAUAAUACCAAAUCCCAAAGAGAUGGACAGUACACUUUUUUUUUCCUGUAAAUUGUUUAUAAUUUUAUUGAAACAUAUUAUGCUCACUUAAAAACAAUGUCACAGUCCCAACAAAUCUAAGAGAAUAAACACCUUAUAAAGACUAAGGAAAGUAGGAUCUUCAUGGACUACAACUAUCAGAGGAAAAUCUCAUGGAGAUGGUUGAAGAGCUCUGGC
This 6144-nucleotide long non-coding RNA is filed under the name Sus scrofa (pig). RNAcentral describes it as "lncRNA (ENSSSCG00025066252.1)". Lineage: Eukaryota; Metazoa; Chordata; Mammalia; Artiodactyla; Suidae. The record is from RNAcentral.